AUCCCCCCACUUUGCUGAAGCCUUACGUUCCACGCGAGGUACUUAUGUAGGCAAAGUGGGGGGAU
This 65-nucleotide non-coding RNA is filed under the name unclassified sequences. Its description in RNAcentral is "DUF3800-VIII RNA". It matches the Rfam family "DUF3800-VIII RNA". From Rfam's summary of the family: Bacteroidetes, Cyanobacteria, Firmicutes, Planctomycetes (1 example), Proteobacteria, Tenericutes (1 example). Nearby to DUF3800 The record is from Rfam by way of RNAcentral.